Molecule: non-coding RNA, 102 nt
Rfam family: TPP riboswitch aptamer (THI element)
About the family: Vitamin B(1) in its active form thiamin pyrophosphate (TPP) is an essential coenzyme that is synthesised by coupling of pyrimidine and thiazole moieties in bacteria. The previously detected thiamin-regulatory element, thi box was extended, resulting in a new, highly conserved RNA secondary structure, the THI element, which is widely distributed in eubacteria and also occurs in some archaea. Analysis of operon structures identified a large number of new candidate thiamin-regulated genes, mostly transporters, in various prokaryotic organisms.
CGCAACGACACGGGGUGCCGGGCCUGAAAAGGCCGGCUGAGAUCAACACCCGUCGAACCUGAAACAGUUAGCACUGGCGAAGGGAUGUCGGCCUUAAGGCCC